AGGAGACGCUCUGGAUGCCCUUGAUGGUUGGCUGAUCAACUGAGCCCAGCUCUCUGCUCACCUCUGGGAGCUGGGGCUGAAGUACGUGUGGUGUGGGUGGUUGACUGGGGAGCAUGUGGGGCGCUGAGAUGAAUGGGCUAUGAAGCCUGGGGAGGAGGCUGGGUUUGACAGGGAGCUUUGGUGGGAAUCCUGGCCAGCCUGGGACCAUGAAUAUCAUGGGUGCCAUGGUGGAGAUGGCAGGUAGAAAUUAUCACGCCUGUUAACAUGUAAUGAAUGCCUGUUAUGUGCCAAACUCGUAUUGGGUUCACCUGGUCCACAUGAUAUUCCUGUAAAAAAGUAACUUCCGUCAUCACCUUCAUGUAUUAUUAUCCUUAUUUUGCAGACAAGGACUCUAAGAUUAAGAGAGGCAGUUCACUCGUAGACACCAGCUAUGGCGUGGAGGAGCAGGGAGGAAACCCAGCUGUUUGGUGCUGCACUCUAUCCCUCAGGUAUCUCGCUCUAUUCACAUGACAUUCAACAAAAUGAUGGCUUCAUCUGCCAGAGUCUUGCUGAGGCUAGUCCCAGAGCCAAGACUAUAAAGUGGAAAGGGACCUGCAAGGCAUGAAAUGAACAGGUGCCUGGUAAAGAGCUCAGAUCUCUGCAGGCGUGUGUGUUGGGUAUAGGUUUAAUAAAGACCUUGUCACCACGUUUUAGGCAUGGUUGCUGUGCGCAGAACUUGUCAGCGUACCAAGCUCUUUUCCAUUCACUGUCCUGUUUGAUGCUCACACCUGCCUAACGAUGCUGGUAUCAUUAUUUAUGGAUGAGCUCAGGUCACUUUAUUGUCACUCUCUGGUUAAGUGGUAGGACUAAGAAUCCAAUGCAUGUCCAUUUCCUUGUCUUACCAGUGCUGGGAGGUCUGAGCUGAGUUCAAUACUGACAACCCCCUUCCCUGUGCAGAAGAGAUGGUUGGAACAUCUAAGGGUCACGAAGGCCAGGUUGGAGGACUUGACUUACAUCUUUGGGUGAAUGGGCUUAUUAAAAUUAAACUCUAGAAUUGGACUCAUUUAACCAUGCAGUCGCAGCAGCUGGAGUGGGACAGGACACUGGGUCCCCGUGUGGAGGGUGUGCCCAGGUUAGCCUCAGGACAGGGAGGAACAGAGCAGGCAGUCUCCCUCUUCAGAUGGAGACCACAGGAGCUCAUCUGAGCCUUCCUGAUGUAUUUUUCCAUAUUGGACAAUCAGAUAAGUCACGUCAGCCCCCAGAGACACCGAGUAAAGGUGACAGAGGGAGGCCAGUAAUGAAAUUGCCUCCACAGGAAGGAAAGAGGUGAUAUCAGAGUUACAUUGAUCACAUUCCUUCCUUUAGGGGGAAAUAUCAAGAGUUGGGAACAAGAGUUCCCACAUAACUAUAAGAAGUCCUGAAAAUUCCUAACCACAAUUCUGCAUCCACAGGAACUUCAGCUGGAACAUGGCCAAUAUGUUCCCUUCAGGCCUGUGGGAAAUGAAUUCCUUUUCCUUUCUGGGCAGACUUUGGCAGAGGAGAGUCAGGCAGAAUUUUCUAGUUGAUUAAGUGUGUUAGAAAGUUAAGACAAGGGCUUUCCUUUACUGAGCAGGAAGCUAUCAUGGAAAAGAAUGGCUUCUUAAUGAGAGAUGCCAAGCCACAAAAUAGGAGAUCAUUCUGAAAAAGGUUUUGUAAUGUAAAGUUUGCCUGAUGGCUCAGAAAUCUAUUUUGAGCUGAGGUGCAUGUCCUGAAAACUCAAUUUGAAGUAAUGUAGGAAUUGUCACAUAGGCUAUGCUGAUAGGACCUGGCCCUUUGGCAUCUGGGAAAGUGCCAGAAACAGGAAUGUCACUGUCAGCUUCCUCCACUUCUGCCCUAAAGCAGGUCACCAGACUCUCGUGUGAGAGUUGUCCUCCUUGUGCACCAAGGAAAGAAGCAUCCUAUCCCUGAAGACCCAGGGUCACAGAGAAAGAUCUAGACUUGCUAAGUCCCCAGCGGAUCGCCUCUUGACCAUACCCUCUUUGACGUGUUGUAUCUCUUCACAACUACACACUCUUUAUCACACUUAGCAGAAAAACACACAAGCUCACCUGUUUCCUUACGUCUUUAUUUUCCUUUUGAAGGUUCCCAUGUCACACUAAACUUACAGCAAGUGAGUUUAUAUGCUUCUCUCUUGUUAAUCUGCCUUUUGUUAGAGUGACCUCAGUUAUGAUCUUAGUGAUGAGUGAGUAAAAGAUAUUUUUCCCACCUUGCAAUACCCAGGAAUAAAUUAAGUUCAAUUAAAAUGAUAAUUAUUAUUUGGAAAACAUCAAAAUACCAGGGAAGGCAUUUAUGCCUUUUUUAGAAAAUCAGAUUUGCUGAAAUAUAGUUUACAUACAAUAAAAUUUACUAUUUUUUGAAAUUUUUUAAAUUUUAUUUAUUUAUUUUUUAGUUGUGGUCGGACACAAUACCUUUAUUUUAUUUCUUUAUUUUUAUGUGGUGCUGAGGAUCGAACCCAGGGCCUCACCCGUGCUAGGCGAGUGCUCUACCGCUGAGCUACAACCUCAGCCCUUAAAAUUUACUAUUUUUAAGCAUGUAGUUUUGACUUUUGACAAAUGUAUGUAGUCAUGAACUCACCAGUAAGAACUAUUGGUUAGAAAAAUAUCCAAAUCUUCAUAUAGCUGCUUAUGCCUUACCCUCCCCUCCACACACCUGCCAGCAAACACCUGCAGAAUGUUAGAGGAGGAUCAGAGGUCUGGGACCCUGGACCUCAGAGGAGGAACACCAGGCAUGACCUCAGAGCACCAGCAGGACCACGGAGGAGGAACGCCAGGCAAGGCAGGACUUCAAUAAAACUUCCAGAAUAUUGUCUUUCUAGGCCUUACUGCAUGUAACUGAUUGCUUGUGGAAUCAUACUUUUGAUUAAGGAAAGGUGUGCUUGAGAAUCGCCCUUCGACCAAGGAGAAUCCUCAAGGGAGAGGAAAACCCGUCACCAGAUAGCAAAAGCAUAAACUCAGAUUCCUAAAGUAGCCGGAAACACCAGAGCCACGCUCCGGUGGCUCACACACCCACCGAGCUCCCAUUGACGCAGCACUUUAGUUAGAAAGUGCUUUCUCGAGCAUUUUACAGCUUAGAAAGUGCUGCGCAUCCGUUAGCUUGCUUAGUCCCUCCCUGCUGGCCUGGGGCUGAGCAGGCCCCCCAGUGAAUUUGUGUACAGUUGGAUCAUAAAGCUGUUCCUCCCUGCCGGCCUCUCCCUCGCCAAGCACGGGCCACGGAGGACAGCUCCUCUGCCAUCGGCCUGGAGAUUACUCAGUGACUAUCCAUCAUGUUUGUGGAUAGCGCCUCCUGCGCUGGGCACAGGGUGAACUGCAGAGUCGGGUCCAACAGUAACUUGGAAUUCUGGGCUCCGCGGCCGCGUGCCUGCUGCUCUGCCUGGGACUGGCAGAGUGUGAAGAAGUGAUGUGGCAGAAGAAUCCAGAAUGCAUCCCAAGAAGGUCUUUGCUUUCUUUUUCUAAAGCCUAAUUGUGGAGUAGGGGGAGAGUCCUCAGGUGAGUAAAGGGUGGGGGGCGACCUCCUCCCCUCUCUUCAGGGGGUGAACCCGUUACCCUGUGAAACUACAUUACCACGCUCUAUCAAAGCCACUUGGGGCGAUGGCUUAGCAAUCGUAGAACCUAGAUCCUGUGGUAACUGUGGCAUCAAGUUGCUGUUUGCUCUUGAAUAAGCCUAUUGCCUUCUCUGAUCUUCAAUGAUAUCACUUGUAAAAGGAGGCCAGUUGUUGAUUUAUGACUGUCUCUAGAAAUGACAUUGUAGGACUGUGUGGGAGGGCUGCUAAGAGGAGGAGAUACGGGAGAGCAGCUCCAGUAACUUGAGUGCCGAGGAGGAGGGGCUCUCUGUAAGUGCUCUGAAGUCAUGGGAAUCUCAGCAAACCAGCGCCCCCACCAAGGUCUCCAUGCCUCUCUCCAUCACUCCCCCCACCUUGGGCUUCCUCCCCUAGGACCCUCUUGGGGCCUUCAAAUUGAAGCCCCCAAGGGAUUGCCGCAGUGGGUCGUAUGAGACAUUGAUUCCAAUACCAGCCCCGGCCCUCACCUUCCCAGUGUAGUUUUCUUUUCUGAUCUGUGUCUGCAAGAGAGAUAAGGCAACCUAUGCCCCAGAGCUGUUGGAAGGGUGAAAUUGGAUGAUGUAUAAUGAAUGACAGCUACUAUUAAAUAAUACUAGCAUUUUAGUAGCCAGGGAAUCAGAGACACUGACACUGUCCCCAACCUCCC
RNAcentral lists this long non-coding RNA (4220 nucleotides) under Marmota monax (woodchuck). Lineage: Eukaryota; Metazoa; Chordata; Mammalia; Rodentia; Sciuridae. The record is from RNAcentral.